Non-coding RNA from Heterocephalus glaber (naked mole-rat), 2539 nucleotides. The record is from RefSeq and is a predicted model, not a curated record. Lineage: Eukaryota; Metazoa; Chordata; Mammalia; Rodentia; Bathyergidae.
CUUUGUAACUGCGGGAGCUUUGGCGGACAAACCCUAUCCAAACCACAGCAGGAGGCUAUGUCACAUUUUAAUUCAACUCAAUUACUGGUUGUGGAAAACAUUGAUUUUUGUGGGCCACAAAGGAGUCCUCAGCCCUGGAAUGCAGACCUAAGAGUUGGAGGACAGCUGGAACACCCUGAAAGUUCUGAUGUCCCUUUCUUCAUGUUUUGAAGCCUGACUCUUCAGAUAAUUUAUCUUGCUACUUAAGGAUUAUGCUUCACAACUUGUGGUAAGAAAACAUAUACAAAAUGAGAUUUUACACCUUCAUUAUAGUUAAACUUCAUGUUCAAAUUGAUGUAUAGUCUUUGUAUGCAAUAUAGAUUACAAAGGUAAUAGUUAUAAAAUUCUAGCCUUCCUUUGACUAUGACCUAAAGAAUGUAUAGUUUAUUGUUAAUAUGUUCCCAACAAUUAAAAAUUGCUAAGUAAUGGAUUAAUUUGCACACUAAGAUUAAAGAAGAAGAGAAAAGAGAGUGGAAACAAUGGCAUGGAAUCAUCUCAUCUUGUGGGACGGUAUGUCUGAUCUAGUGAUAUUUGAACUAAGAGGCAAAAGAAGAGAAACUAACCACAUAUAUUAGUCAAGAAAAGAGCUCUCCACAGAGGCAACUGGAAGUACAAAGAAAGAAAGAAAGAAAGAAAGAAAGAAAGAAAGAAAGAAAGAAAGAAAAAAAUAAUCAAGUGUUUAAGGGACUAAAAGAAAACUGGUGAAAUCAGAAAGCUAUCAACAAAGUGGGAAAUUUGAUAACACUGAGACUUCAUAGGCCACAUGCCAGUCAGAUUCUCGGUUGCAAACAAUGGAAGCAGCAGCUAUGUCUGAACAUGUCCCCAUGCACACCCAACAUUGAUGCAUUGGAAACUUAAUCUUCAGUGCAAUUGUUUAGGGAAUGGGGUCUUGUAGGAGGUUCUUAGGUCAUAGGGCCUCAGCGUUCGUGGAUAGAGCGAUGCUUCUGUAUAAAGGAUUGUGGGAGUCGGUUCACUCUCUUCCUCUUCUACCUUCCAUUAUGUGAGAACACUGCCAGAAAGCUGUAUUAGGUGCCAGCACCUUGAUCUUGAACUUCCCAGCCUUCAGGAUAGUCAGAAAUGAAGGUAUGUUGUUUAUAAAUGACCUGGUCCAUGGUAUUUUGUUACAGCAGCACAAAAUAGACUAAGAUAGCAGUGAUAGUCAUCCUAAGCAAAAUAAUAGAGGAUAACAUGCAUAAUUAAUAGGAAACAUGGAGAAAUAGCCUUGGAAAAUGAUCAGGAACUAAGGGAUGGUAAAAGGAGAAAUAAUCUCUUCAGGAUAUUGCUGGUGUUUGAACCUUCACUGGAUAGUUAAUUCUGCCAAUUGGUGUCAAUCACCUCUAUAGAUUUAUGGUUUUCUCUCAGACCCAGAAUCUCCUCUGCAGGGGUGGAACUGGCCAAACAUAAGUUGAGAGUGUAUAUGCUAUUGUCAGAGGAUGGAAAAGGAGUGUUUAGGUCCUUGGAUUCAGGAGGACUCAUACAAUGGUAAUCUCCUUUCAUAUAGGAGAAUUUAGCUUUUGGAGUACUUAAUGAUCAUGAACACAUAGAAAGGGACUUAGCUUUAUUUAAAUGCAAUGGGAGGUCAGUAACAGUUCUAAGGUGAGGCAGCAUAAUUUUGUUUUAUGUAGACCUCAUCUCAGCUGCUACUAUUGAACAUGUCUGGGGAUAAAUGAAAUUACACUCUAAUCUUUGACAAGAAAAUAGCCCUAAAUAGUUGAAAUAAAUGUCUGUAGUAGAAUAAUAUCUUUUUGUAUACAGUAACUAGAAUUUAAAACUUGAUCAAUUAAGGUAUAAGAGCUUUGAAUUAUUUUUUAUUUUAGAUUUUAACUGCUUCUAGUUUCUGAUCUAUUGAAAGGUAGAAAGUGAGGAGGGUUUAGAUAUGAAGUUCACUUUGACUCUGGAGGACUAGAGCAGGAGAUCAAAGAACAAAACAAGACUAUAUAAAGCACUGAGGUCCACACCAAAAACUUAGUAAGGUUUCAGUAAAACUCAGAAAUGACACUGGACAGAACUUUUUUUUUUUUUUUAAUAAAGAACACAAAGCUGCAAACAAAUCAUUUGGCCCUGUGAACAGUGGUAUGUUAAAAAUUGCUACUCUUUUCAUUGUGCCUUCUUUGAAAGAAAAUUGUGGAAAAGAAAUAAUUUAAAAUACCAUUUUUUUCUGGAAUUGCAGAUUUUCAAAAUCACUGCAGAUGCGAUAUAAAUUCUUAGUGGAUGUCUUAAAGUAAAAUUCCAAUUGAGAAAGGACUGAAAUUCACUGCCCAUUAGUUUUUCAAAAUGCACAAUAAGGAAAUAAUUUAGAAGGGAAAAAGUCUCCAAUUUUCUUUGAUAGUCAGUGUCACAGUAGUAAAAUGCAGGUAGCUAAUAUAUUUUAAAAGCACUGGGUUAGUAACCCUGACAUGAUCUAAUGAAUUUGCUAGGUGAUUAAUAAUUCAUAAAACAGUCUUUUUGUAACAAAAAAUGAAAGUUUCCCUGAAUGUAUGCUUGAGAUAAAAAUAAAUGG